RNAcentral lists this unclassified non-coding RNA (807 nucleotides) under Hevea brasiliensis (rubber tree). The record is from RNAcentral. Lineage: Eukaryota; Viridiplantae; Streptophyta; Magnoliopsida; Malpighiales; Euphorbiaceae.
GGAAACUGAAAAAAGGAUGCAUCUCCAUAAAAAAGUACUCAUAUUUGAUGUAUUAAUCCAAAGUAAAAUCGGCAAAACUUUGAUCCCAAAAGUAAACACAUGCUUGCACUGCCAUCGGAGGAUUUAUAGGAACUAUAGAUCUCCAAAAGGCGGGACAAGGAAGUUUAAAUGCAAACAAUACAAAAAUACCCUAACAAACUUUUUGCAAGUGUCCAGAUUCCGAAUUAUAAAGGAAUUUGCAUGUAGACGAUUUAUCUCUUCUUGGAGACACCAACAGUCUUUCCCCUGCGACCAGUGGUCUUUGUGUGCUGACCGCGAACACGGAGGCCCCAGUAGUGACGCAAACCACGGUGAUUCCUGAUCUUCUUCAGCCUUUCCAAGUCAUCCCUAAGUUUCAUGUCAAGGGCAUUAGAAGUAACUUGGGAAAACUUGCCAUCCUUGUAAUCCUUCUGCCUGUUCAAAAACCAAUCUGGGAUUUUGAAUUGGCGAGGAUUAGCCACAACUACCAUCAAGCUGUCAAGCUCUGCAGCAGUAAGUUCACCAGCCCUCUUGUUCAUAUCGAUAUCGGCUUUUUUGCAAGCAAUGUUAGCAAAACGGCGACCGAUACCUUUGAUAGAGGUCAUAGCGAACAUGAUCUUCUGCUUUCCAUCAACAUUUGUGUUUUGCACACGAAGAAUGUGCUGAAAAUCUUCGUUCGCAACCAGAGACAUGGCUAGGGUUUCACUGUGUUACACUGCGGCUGCUGCUUUUGUUUUGGAAGAGAUGCCAAGCUCUUAGAAAACCCUAAAUACGGAGAAGUGUACGUCU